Molecule: unclassified non-coding RNA, 1610 nt
Filed under: Harpegnathos saltator (Jerdon's jumping ant)
Lineage: Eukaryota; Metazoa; Arthropoda; Insecta; Hymenoptera; Formicidae
Description: translation initiation factor eIF-2B subunit delta- like, transcript variant X3
Source: RNAcentral
UAUUCAUUGCACGUUUAUUUUGUUACGAAAGACGUUCAUAGAAUAUACGUUUGGCACAACUUCGAAUGUCAAAGGAACAUGGACAUACAUCGGACAUCCACAGGACAUCCACAAAAUAUAUUGAGUCUCCAAGCUGCGAAAGAAACCGAGGAGAGUUCCAUAAAAAGCGCGACUAGGCAAUCUCCGAUCGCUCAAGCCGCAAAUGUUACGUCUCCGGCCGUUUCUAGGCUAGACAACGCGAUUUCCGACGAUAAAGCCGACGGUAAAGCCGAGGGCAAGAGCAAGGCGGAAUUGCGUGCGGAACGAAGAGCUAAGCAGGAGGCUCAGAGAGCGGCGAAGCAGCUUCAACAAAUCUCAGCAAAGCAGCAACUAUCCUCAACGAAGAGCAACGAAAGGAGCCAAGAAACUCCUUCAGAAAAACUGCGUGCACAGCAAGUGGUUGUCGAAGCUGUGAGUGUAAAAAAAAUUGUGAAGAAAAGUAAUGACCACCAGGUGAACCUGUUCCAGCACCUAUAUAAUGAAAGGGAGCUCUCUUUGGCCAGCGUGCCCAUCAAUUCGAAUAUUCAUCCGGCAAUCAUAGGUUUGGGCGCGCAGUACACGGGCAGAACAAUCGUCGGCAGCAAUGCGAGGUGUGUUGCGCUAUUGGCAGCUGUCAAGCAGGUAAUCCUGGAUUUUGAGAAGCCGGAACAGGCUGACUUCACUCGUAGCCUCGAGAUAUGUCUGCGGGAUUUGCUCGCGUACCUACAUCGUUGUCGGCCGGUGGCUGUUUCAAUGCAAAACGCAAUGCGUCAUCUCAAGUGGCACAUGACGAAUUUCUCGGUCACUAUGUCGACAUGUGAGGCGAAAACCAAGCUAACAGGUAUAAUAGACACCUACAUAAUGGAACAAAUUCAACUGGCUGGCAAAGCAAUAUCCAUAACUAUUCAGACUAAGAUAUCAAACGGAAAUAUCAUUUUAAUUUACGGAUUCUCAUCCUUAAUCUAUAAUAUAUUAGUGGAUGCACAUGCUGCGGGUAAACAAUUCCGCGUUAUCGUAGUCGACGGCAGACCGUGGCUAGAAGGAAGAGAACAAUUGAAACGUUUAGCGAAACAUGGAAUCAAUUGUUCAUAUAUGUUCAUCAACGCUGUGAGCUUCAUUAUGUCAGAAGUUAGCAAAGUCUUUCUUAGUGCUCACGCAAUAUUGGCCAAUGGCGCGGUGAUGUCGCGAGUCGGAACUUCGCAAAUCGCUUUGAUAGCCAAAGCCUUCAACGUACCGGUUUUAGUAGCGUGUGAGACGCAUAAGACAUGUGGACGAGUGCAGACUGAUUCCAUCGUGUAUAAUGAACUUGGAGAAUAUAAUUUGGAUUAGGCAAAACUGAUUCAUCCUACUGCACUUUGGAACUAGUUUGGCCUAGACGAAACUAGUUUAUCCUGAAAUCGGGUUUGGCCGGGAAUGCGGAUGAUCUCGUAACUUCGAAUCAAUAUGGUAAUUCGAGAAAGUCUCUGUUCACCAACUGGCGGGCGAGAAAGUCGCUGAAUCUCUUAAACAUCACAUAUGACGUAACACCAGCCGAUCUCAUUACUGCUGUCGUCACGGAAUUGGCCAUUCUGCCAUGCACCAGUAUUCCUGUG